AGAGUUGGUUGGAUGACUGCUGACAAUUUGUUAGAGGAAAGUCCGGACUUCACAGAGUAGAGUGCCAGGUAACACCUGGGAGGCGUGAGCUUACGGAAAGUGCAACAGAAAUUAUACCGCCAUGAAUUUGGUAAGGGUGAAAUGGUGGGGUAAGAGCCUACCGCGUAUUUGGCAACAAAUGCGGCAGUGCAAACCCCACUUUGAAGCAAAACCAAAUAGGAAUCUUCUUAGGUUACUCGCUUAGGAUUCGGGUAGGUUGCUGGAGCAAUGCGGUGACGCAUUGCCUAGAUAGAUGGUCAUUUAAUACAGAAUCCGGCUUAUAGACCAACUCAUUUA
This 336-nucleotide RNase P RNA is filed under the name SAR86 cluster bacterium. Its description in RNAcentral is "RNase P RNA component class A". It matches the Rfam family "Bacterial RNase P class A". From Rfam's summary of the family: Ribonuclease P (RNase P) is a ubiquitous endoribonuclease, found in archaea, bacteria and eukarya as well as chloroplasts and mitochondria. Its best characterised activity is the generation of mature 5'-ends of tRNAs by cleaving the 5'-leader elements of precursor-tRNAs. Lineage: Bacteria; Pseudomonadati; Pseudomonadota; Gammaproteobacteria. The record is from RNAcentral.